This 253-nucleotide ribosomal RNA is filed under the name uncultured bacterium. Its description in RNAcentral is "partial 16S ribosomal RNA". It matches the Rfam family "Bacterial small subunit ribosomal RNA", at positions 524 to 776 of the family's 1533-position model. The record is from RNAcentral.
UACGGAGGGUGCGAGCGUUGUCCGGAAUCACUGGGCGUAAAGGGCGCGUAGGUGGCGUCGCAAGUCAACGGUGAAAGCUCGGCGCUCAACGCCGAGUCGGCCGUCGAUACUGCGAAGCUGGAGCACUGUAGAGGCUCAUGGAAUUCCGGGUGUAGCGGUGGAAUGCGUAGAGAUCCGGAAGAACACCGGUGGCGAAGGCGGUGAGCUGGGCAGUAGCUGACACUGAGGCGCGACAGCGUGGGGAGCAAACAGG